AUCCAGACUCCUACGGGAGGCAGCAGUGAGGAAUAUUGGUCAAUGGACGAGAGUCUGAACCAGCCAAGUAGCGUGAAGGAUGACUGCCCUAUGGGUUGUAAACUUCUUUUAUAAAGGAAUAAAACGAGGCACGUGUGCCUUUUUGCAUGUACUUUAUGAAUAAGGAUCGGCUAACUCCGUGCCAGCAGCCGCGGUAAUACGGAGGAUCCGAGCGUUAUCCGGAUUUAUUGGGUUUAAAGGGAGCGUAGGUGGAUUGUUAAGUCAGUUGUGAAAGUUUGCGGCUCAACCGUAAAAUUGCAGUUGAAACUGGCAGUCUUGAGUACAGUAGAGGUGGGCGGAAUUCGUGGUGUAGCGGUGAAAUGCUUAGAUAUCACGAAGAACUCCGAUUGCGAAGGCAUCUCACGAAUCCGCGAUUGACGCUGAUGCACGAAAGCGUGGGUAUCAAACAGGAUUAGAUACCCGUGUA
This 466-nucleotide ribosomal RNA is filed under the name uncultured bacterium. RNAcentral describes it as "bacterial SSU rRNA". It matches the Rfam family "Bacterial small subunit ribosomal RNA", at positions 329 to 792 of the family's 1533-position model. The record is from RNAcentral.